This 435-nucleotide long non-coding RNA is filed under the name Manacus vitellinus (golden-collared manakin). RNAcentral describes it as "lncRNA (ENSMVIG00005000439.1)". Lineage: Eukaryota; Metazoa; Chordata; Aves; Passeriformes; Pipridae. The record is from RNAcentral.
UGUUCCACAGUGGCAACUCAUUUCAUUCUGCUGCAGUCUCUGAUCUUGAUUUUAACAUUCCGUUUUUCAGCUGUUGAAGAAGUCACAGAUCUCACAGAUAGAUCUUCUGAGCCUGAGGUCAGUGACCUAACUGAUGAUAAUUCAGUUGUGCAGUGGCAGCAGAGCCAGCAAUACCCACGUUUUUUCAGAGCAGCAGAUAAUUCAGCAGUGCUACUGAUGAGUGACAAUGAAGAGGAACAAGGAGAUUACGAUGACAUAUGGCCAGCAGGCCCUGCAAGUUCUCUGUUUUGGGUGGAUGAGGACUUAGAGGAGCAGAGCCAGCAAUACCCACGUUUUCUCAGAGCAGCAGAUAAUUCAGCAGUGCUACUGAUGAGUGAUGACGAAGAGGAACUAAGAGACAAUAAUGGGUAUGUGACAGAUAAAGUGACUGUCUAA